Homarus americanus (American lobster) is the source of this 9384-nucleotide RNA transcript. RefSeq lists it as uncharacterized. NCBI's taxonomy places the organism in Eukaryota, Metazoa, Arthropoda, Malacostraca, Decapoda, Nephropidae. The transcript has 7 exons. The record is from RefSeq and is a predicted model, not a curated record.
AGAAAGAGUGGAUGUACACUCCAGUGAACAUGGGAAAAUAUGUGAUGAAUAAGGAAUAUAGGUGGGGGGGGGGGAGUAAGCAGUUUCUCUAGUUACAGGGUAGACUUCAGUGACUGGAAGUUACGGCAUCAAAUUCCAGAGCCCGAAACCAACAUUUUAGUUACGCUGAAGAUGCAUACAUCUAAUAUCUCUACCCAUAGUGCAAGUGAACAUCAGUGUUUAAAGUGUAUGAGUGUAGAUUAUAGUUUUGUUGGACCCUUUUUUCCUUAUUCAUUUCAAUAAACUCAUCACUAAUGCCUGUGUUGCUUGAAAAUCUUCUUAUUGAUAAAUGUUGAGUGAUACAAAGUUUCAUAUUUUAAGUAUUAUAGUGACAUGGAUAUUUCUCUUAAUGUGGUCUUUUCUUCCUGUUAAUUGGUAACAAUAUUUGUUCUAACUAUAUAUCACAAUAACAUACUUCAUUGUUAGUCUUUGGAAUGUUGGAAUGGUACAUACUGUACUCCUAACUUGUAAUAGUGGAUUAGUUUAAUAGCUGGAACAUAUUUGCUGUCUUAAAUUAUUGAUUUGCUGAGUGGGUUGCACUGCUGUAUGCACAAUUUAGAAAGAAGAUGGUGGAUAGUUAUCUAACUGGGUUAUGCAUUACACAACUACUACUGCUGUAAAGUGUCUGCUUAUGUGGGAAUGCUAGGUUUGGCAGUUGUUCUUGAAUGCAGUACAGGGUAUCUGGUUUCUGAUACCUGUAGUGGUAAAAUUUAGUGCUUGACUUCAUUUAAAAUUACUGAUUAUAUUUUGUCUGUCAAAAGUUUACAUUCGAAUGCUAACAGUGGAAUGGUUUUUGUAGCUUUUGUAUUUCUGCUGAACAUUGAAUGUCCAACACACGCUAGGGUUCCAGUACAAAGUGUACAGUACAGUAUAGGAAUAUGCUAUGACUUGUGUAUUAACCAGUUGGUUAGCUUUGCCCCUCACCUCUGCCUGUCUCUGUGAUAUAUGAAUGUGUGUAUAUUUUGCAAUGCACAGUAUAAUCAUAUUCUGUUUGGGGAAUGGUGAAAUUCUAACUAGCUAUGAUAGUGUGCAUUUCCAUGUGAUCUUCACUCUCCCUUGUUCAAUUUGUACAAGUGUUGAUAAAUGAGUGGCUUGUAUGCUGUGCUUGUUAACUGUUCUUGUGUGAAUUUUGCCAAUAAUCUCUACUAGAAUAUUAUUUACUCGAACAUGUUUGCAGUAAAAUAUGCUUUAAACUUGACAAAAUGUAUUUGUUACUACAAUUCUUUAACAAACCAUGUGUUAUGAUACACAGUUCUGUUGCUUAUAUAUGUAUAGUGUGUAUGUGAUGUUUUUGUAUGAACUUUUACAUCCUGUAAUCUUGGCUGAAUUGAGUGAAAUAUUGAUAUACUGAUUAUGUAAAUGAGAUAUACUAUCCUUAGAUUAAGAUGCAUCUUGUAAACUUGGAGGAACUGGAACCUUGCAUUAAUGUGUUUGGAUUCAUUAUCUGGGCUCAUUAAUUCAAGUGUCGGUCACUCUCUUAUAAACCUAAUUGGAUUAUAAGGAGAGUGGGAAAGAGGGUGGGACCUUUCCUCCAAGUAAAAUUUUUUUUUUGUUAUAUUCAAAUAAUGUAGAAUGCCAUGAGUGUGUAAUGCUGAUUUUGAAGAUGGAUCCAAAGCCAAAGAACAACCCUAAGAAGGAACAUGAGACCAGAAGUUUAGUCAGCAUUUUCGAGAAUGGUUCCUGGGAGCUAAAUUUAUGCAGUACCAGAAGUCAACUAGGAAAUAGGGCACUUGAUUCAUCUGGGGCUGUGAUAGGACUUGGUGGAAAUAUCAGAUACUGCAGUGCUUUGAAGAUUGGAUAUCUCUUCAUCUUCAUCUCUCGUGGAAGGAGUUCGGGUGUUGCCUACGAUUGUAUUUUAACUUAAGGUUUGGUUGCUGCUCAGUGGAGACCCUGCUGAGUAUCCUGGAGUCUUUAAAAACAGUCGUUGUAGUCAUGAAGGCGUAGUUGCAGGCUGCCCUGUUAAGUCGUGUUGAUGGAUACUGUAAUGGGAGAUGAGUGCAGUUGAAGGUAGCAGUGGGACCUAUGUGCAGCAUCAAAGACAGCACUGUCCUGAGUAUGAUUGAAGGCGACACUGGGGCAUGUGGUCGUGACGGAUGGCAGUGCUGGGAUGUGCGGUUGUGACUGAUGGCAGCGCUAGGACGUGGUAAUGACCGAUGGCACCGCCGGGACGUGGUUAUGACCGAUGGCACCGCUGGGACGUGGUUAUGACCGAGGGCACCGCUGGGACGUGGUUAUGACCGAGGGCACCGCUGGGACGUGGUUAUGACCGAUGGCACCGCUGGGACGUGGUUAUGACCGAUGGCAUCGUUGGGACGUGCGGUUGUGACUAAUGGUAGCACUGGGACGUGAAGUUGUGACUGGUGGUGGACGUGCGAGAAUAGUCGGAUGUAGCGCUAAGACUGGUUAGUGCUGAGCAGCAGGACUGGGACGUAAAUGGGUCGGCGACCGGGCUGGGAAGUGGGACGUAGAAGUGGGUCAGACGUAGAAGUGGGUCGGAUGCCGUGCUGGGACAUCAAAGUGUGAGCCUGGAUGACGGUUGGAACACAGGGACAGAGGGGGUGCAUUUUACUUGUUUACUGGGGUAUGGUGCUCUGGCUUUUUAAAUUUCUCUAUAGUUAGGAGGUACUGUAUAAUAUAAAAAUAUUCACCACUAAGGAUUUUUGUAAAGACAGUGUGCUGUAGGCAAUGUAUAUCAAUAAAACUUGUGCUCUUUAAAACAAUUAGCUACUAUAAUUUUAAUGUUUUGUAGAAGUGAAACUACUCUUUGCUGUCUAGUCUGCACAAUUUAUAACUUAUUGUCAAACGUAAGAAUGAAGUGAAGUAACGCCUGCCCUGAUUAGUUGGAUAGAUCAGUAGCUGUAAGUUAAAUUAGGCCUAAACCACAUGCCAGAGUGACAUAUCCCUAUUAGAUACAACAUUAUGAAGUACCCCUUCUUCCUGAGGUCCAAGGUUGGGACCGUGCGGAGAUCUAGUGGGCUGUUGGAGGCCGCGUGUGGAAGCUACUAAGGGGCAUCAAUGACUACUGAGAAACCAGUGGAGGAGUUAGAAAGCCGCGUCGGGGAGUUUUGGUGACCAGACAAAGAGGCCAUAUAACUGCGGAGUAAGUCGAAGCCACUAAGGAGCUGAAGUGGUUGUCUGAAAUCAUGCUGGGAGCAACAGUUGCAGCGAAAGAGACCACUGAAGAACUGUGGUAGCUGUCAGCAGCCUGCAGUGGUGGCCAGAUGAUGUGCUGAAGUUCGGGUGUUGCUGCUCUUCAAGUUAAAGGGAGUUUGUUGUAUGCAUGGAUAUUGGUAUGUCGUCAAGUUUGUCAUCCAGCACUUGGUUUGCAAAGGAGUGUUGAGACUGAAUCAUCACUUCAGGUUGAAAUAGGAUCCUCAGGAUGUGCAGUUUUGCUGCAGGGACUUAGAUUAUGCUGGUGUGUUCACAAAUUUAGAGGAAAUACUGUACUGUGGGAUUUUUCACCCAAUUUUGUCAGUGGAAUUGUCAGCUUGCUACAUACAGAUCAAGUUGUCAAACAAGACUUGUACUAUGAACAUCAGCAAAACGAUGCCAUUGAAAGAUACAUUUGAAUGUGUGGCGAGACAUUUUGGCUGUGGACGGCAGGUCAGCAUUUGUUCGUAGGAGUUAUAAAAAAGUAUUUGUAGACUUGCCAUUCUGUUCUGGGAAAAAAUUAAUGCAUGUUAUACAAGUAUUGGAAUUGGGAACAGGAAGAUUUUUUGUGAAAAAUAUCAAGAAAGAACAAGAUGCUCCUGGACAGGUCAGGCUCUAGAACUUCUUAUGCAUGUGAUGAAUUACUGUACUAUCUAUCAUUCUGGUGUCCGGGAGCAGUAGUUUUGUAUCUUUGUACUUGAGUACUGUAGUUCCUUCAGUCUUUGACCUUGACUACUGCACAACUCAUGACCAUACACAGAACAUUGACAGAAAAAAAACACAAAGUAGAUAAAUUUGAGAAAAAAGAAGAAUGUAAAAAAAAAAUAGCCAUACUGUAUAUCAAAAUGUAAAACUGAAAACCACUGCCUUGGAUACAAUCUUUUGAAUGCAAUAGAUACCAUUUUACAUGGUAUUUAUAAGUUAGAAAAUACCACUUCUUAUGGAUUUGCCGCUAAUUGCAGUGCUCAUUGCUAAUAUUUUCUGGGUAAAAAACUUGAAUUGGACCAACCAUUGUGCAGAUACAUAUUUUGGAUCUUAAGAGGACUAAAAUUUUAUAUGGAUACACUGUACCAUGCUGCAGAUGAAUAUCUUCGGUCUUACGAGGGAAAAGAUCUUCCUGUUGAGGAUAAGUAUCUUGAUUGUUAGUGAAACAAAGGAUAUACUAUAUUGCUUCUUGCAAUGUCAUUUAAAAGUGAUUUUACAUGCUAAUUACAGACAUCUUCAUUGUUUAAAGAAAGAAUGGAUUGAUAUGCUACUUUUAAGAUUUUGAUAGUGAAGAAGGAAUGGAUACACCUACAAACUGCUUCCAGAUCAGUGAUGGAUAUAUUAACUGCUUAAAAUCUCGUGAUCAGUGAAAGUGAGUACAGUACUGUUCACUUGCAGUGUAUGAAAUGCUUAAUUUUUUAAGACUAACAUGUUCCAAGUAGAGAAAGUACCAAAUCUAACUUAAUUGAAAAUUUAGAUUUGUGAAGACUGUAAGUAACAGUGGAAAUGAAUGAGAAUAAUUUAUAGAUUUACAUGAUAGAAGAUCCCAUAUGAAAUGGCAGUCUUGCCUUGGUACAGUAUCGUGUUUAACCCACCCAGUGCAAAUGACCAGCAAACAAAAACCUUUAAAACCAAUCUGUGUAACUGACCAACAAAACUUUUGCAUACUAUAAAUGGUUAAUUCAAGAAGACUUAAGUUAAAAGAGAAGUAAAGUUAAAUGUGCAAGGAUUAUCUCCAUGGAAUUUCAAAUUGCAGUACCUGUACUGUAUAGAGGAAAGUUAUUUUAUAUUGAAACCUGUAGACCCUAAGGUUAACGAAGAUUAAGUGAAAGGAUAAACACAGUUCUAGGAAAUAUUAAAGAACAUUCUAACUGACUACAGGAACAAUGACUGACAAUAUUCUAAAGUGAACUUGUGGACCAGUAAGUAAAAAGUCACACUUGGUGAGUAAAUUGGCUUUAUUACUAAUGAAUUGCAUACUCUUGAAUAUCUAUACAUAGUUGGUAUUCUUGUAAGUAAAUUAAUAUUUGAAAGAAGAAUAUCUUUAUUACUGAAGUCUGACAAUGACGAAAAGUCAGGAAAAUAAGCAUGGAAACUAGACUGAUUCAUGGUAAAUGAUAAAACAACAGUACCAAUAUAUUGAAUGUUUAAGGCUCCAUACUGAAGUAAAUGAGCAGGUCCUAAGUAGUUGAAUACUACAGCAUUGUGGAAGUAAACAUAAUGAAUAUGAUGCUAAAGUUACAGUUUUUCUGAAGUAACCACCGUUUGAGAAGUAACCAUACUUAAAUAUGAUGUGAAAGUUACACCGUUUGACAAGUAACUAUGGCAGUUUCAACGGAAUUGUCUUAAGUGAAUAUUCAAGCCAAUUAAAAUUAGCUCCCUUGAAUAUGGAACAAAACCUACACCAGUCGAGAAGGAAGAUGAAAGGUACACCAUGGAAAGAAUAUAUCUGCAUAAGCACCAAAAUAAAUGGCGAAUUGAGAAAUUUUUGAAGGUCGUCUUGCGGGACAGAUCAACAACUUGAAGAAUAAUACAUUAUAACUAAAGGCAAGGUUAUUUUUGUUAUUGUAAAUAGAACUUAUGUAUUGCUAGCCAAUUAAGGAUAAUUUGUAAAGUAUGGUAAGAUGUUUGAGAAUAACAUGAAUUUGUCAUCAAAUAUUAGAGAAUAGGUAUUGUACAUGAAUUUGUCAUCAAAUAUUAGAGAAUAGUCAUUGUAAAUUUAUUCACUGCAUGAAGUGGAUGGGUAUGGUAAACGCCACAGGUGCAGGAAGAUGAUGGGCAUGGUCGCCUACACAGGUGCAGGAAGAGGAUGGGCAUGGCUGACGACACCAGUGCAGGAAGAGGAUGGGCAUGGUCGCCUACACUGGUGCAGGAAGAGGAUGGGCAUGGUCGUCUACACAGGUGCAGGAAGAGGCUGGGCAUGGUCGACGACACAGGUGCAGGAAGAGGAUGGGCAUGGUCGUCUACACAGGUGCAGGAAGAGGAUGUGGGCAUGGUCGUCUACACUGGUGCAGGAAGAGGUUGGGCAUGGUCAUCUACACAGGUGCAGGAAAGAGGAUGGGCAUGGUCGGUGGCCUACACAGGUGCAGGAAGAGGAUGGGCAUGGCUGACACCAGUGCAGGAAGAGGAUGGGCAUGGUCGUCUACACAGGUGCAGGAAGGGGCUGGGCAUGGUCGACGACACAGGUGCAGGAAGAGGAUGGGCAUGGUUGUCUACACAGGUGCAGGAAGAGGAUGGGCAUGGUCGUCUACACAGGUGCAGGAAGAGGCUGGGCAUGGUCGACGACACAGGUGCAGGAAGAGGAUGGGCAUGGUCGUCUACACAGGUGCAGGAAGAGGAUGGGCAUGGUCGUCUACACAGGUGCAGGAAGAGGAUGGGCAUGGUUGUCUACACAGGUGCAGGAAGAGGAUGGGCAUGGUCGUCUACACAGGUGCAGGAAGAGGAUGGGCAUGGUCGUCUACACAGGUGAAGGAAGAGGAUGGGCAUGGUGGUCUUCACAGGUGCUGACGAGGGAAGGAUGUACAAGAGGAUGGGCAUGGUCGCCGUUGGGACGUUGUUGAUGAGGUGCAAGAGGACGGGCAGGUCGUCGUCGUCGAUGGAAGCACAAGAGGGUGGGCACGGUCGUGAUGGAGGUACAAGAGGACGGUCAUUGUCGUUGAUGGGGGAAAGGAGAAUGGUCAACUUCAAGAAUUCAAGACCCCAGAGGAAGUAUAAGGCUGGAUGCAGAUGUCUUUGGUGAGAGGACAUAUGUGGUUGUCUUAGAUAGUGGAUGUAAAGUCAUCAGGCAGGAACUACUAGGAUGGGCCUCCACUUUAAUAGGUGUAAAAAAAGGUGAGGGUAGUGUGGUUGGUUGAUUUAGGCACUUUCAUUUAACAUCAGGAUUUCAAGAGAUUGGCCUUGGUUUGAAGAGGAAAAUUGGUUCAGGUUUAUCAAGAAGAUAUUGAAGACCCUGUACAAAGCUGUAAGGAGAUGAAGAAGGAUCCCAUUAUGAUAGCCAGGUGGAUUACAGUAUAAUUUCACAGGGAAGUGAAAAAGAUAGAUUUUAUCACUGGCCACUGAUUAUUAAGGUGGAGAGAGUAGAUUUUGCUAGGGAGAAGAAUAUGUGCUAGGCAUUAAUUAUCAGGAGGCAAGGGAGAGUAAUAGCAAUAACACUCAGGAGGUAAGCAAGAGUGGAGGAAUUUGUCCACAGGAUUGGGGAAAGGAGGAAAAGGGUUAAAUGUUCAUCUCGGUAAGGAAUGAAUUGAAGAUAAAUAUGCACUCUUCAAGAGCAGGGGCUUCAUCGCCCUGUCAUCACAAAACAGAAGAGGAUGGUUAUUCACAGUAGCCUUCAGUCAUCACAAAUCUCAAGUUAUAAAUGAAGAGGAUGGACUUGAGCAUAUUCAGCCUUGAAGUACAACAGUAAAGGAAGGCCUUAGUCAUUGAGAGAUAUAAGAAGAUGGACUUUGACAGAAGUAUGUCUUCAGUGCCAGGAGGAUAGAGAGGUGUUGGUUAUCCCCACGUUAUGAGAAGAGGAUUGUCAAGUACUGCACUGCUUGCAAAUAAUGAGAUUCACCCACCAACUUGACGGUCGUGGACGGUCCUUCAGGAGUGUCCUAGACAAUCAAAUCUCUCUUAUUCCAGAGAGACAACUGGUGCUACAGUACAAGACCACUCAAGGUAAGGUGUUUGUAUCAUUUCAGUUUUAUGUGGUAAGUAUAAAAUUGUAUUUUCUGAGGAUCUACUUUUUUUUUUACUCCUUGGUAAUCAUAAUGUUUGUUUUGUGUGAAUGUGUUUCAUAAUUUCACUACAGAGUUAUCUUAAUGAUUCAGGCAUUGGUAAGUGUCGCUCAGAGUUCACUAAGCAAAAUUCUUCCAUUCAUAUUCACCAAUACUAGAUAUCCCUAUCAAUUAUAGUACGUACAUGUAUUCAGUUUUUAGAUGUCAACCCUAUCAAUUAUUCAGUUUUUAGAUGUCAUGAAUAGAUUCUAAAAGGCAAUAUUCUUUCACCCAAAUUCACCAAUUCCAGGUUCCCCCUUUUUGGCUUGAUUGUUGAGACUGGGUGGAGCGAGCCUGGGACAGUUGUGACAUGGCCGAGCAAGGCAGGGACUGAGACAGGAAAGCCAUGGGGCAGGGCCAGAUGAAGAAACAGUCAUUCGUAGGCAAUACAGAGCAGACAACUCUGGGGGCCGUGUGUGGAUUGGACCCACUGUAGAUGCGCACUUUGUGGAGGAGAGAAGAUAAACAGUGGGAAAAGAAGCUACUACCCUAACCAGAUCAGAUGGACGUUACAAAGCCUCAAUCUUUUCGAACUAGGGCACUAGGACGAAUUUUAGGUUACGUAAAUAUUCUAUCUAUUUAGAGCGUAUUCAUGAGAAGUAAUUUUCCAUAAAGUAUUUUUAUGUUCUGGUAUACUGAGUAGUGAAAUUGCGAAGUUCAUAUAUUGAAAUGAUUUUUCAUGAUCUCAAACUGAAGUGGUUAUUACUGAAGAUAGUUCGUCAAAAAUUAAUCGCGUCCCGUUGACGUCCACAUCAACUCCACCUUGUCCCUCGGCUCAGCUGCAACAGGAAGUCGUCAGAGGAAUCUGAUGACCGCCUUCUUAAAAUCCACGCUCUGGUAAUAUCCAGGUCAGGUUACAGUAUUCGAAGCUGUAGUGAUUCUUCAGGUCUUCUCUUAGGACAGGAUGUUUGGUACACCACAACUUUGAAAAUGUUCCACGGCAUCACCUCGGCCAGUUGCACUUUCAGAGGAUCGUCUUCAUAUGUCUUGCAUCUGAGUUUGUUCUACCCAUUCUCCCAUGAAAAGGUCGUGGCUCAUCACAUCUAUCACUUCUGCACAUCAGUAAUCACUACUAUAUCAACACAGUUACUGUGUAUUUCAUCAUCAACCUUUGCUACAGUGGCUUCACAACUUUAACAAAGCUGCUGUGUGUAUAUCACAUCUACAACUUCAUUAUAACGGCUGUGUGUGUAUGUGCUAUCUGCUGUGUACGUCAUCACAUCCGCUGUGUACGUCAUCACAUCCCCAUCUAUAUAGCUGCUGUGUUUCUUCACUACUACAACUACAUUGUUGCUGGUUGCAUGUCAACACAAAAUGUCACCACUGAUGAAUGUCUUCACUUCUAGCUCUGACAUUACUGAUGAAUUUUAUGAAUGUUUGAUUAAGGUUAAUUUGUUUUACCAGUCGGUGCUGUUUCAGAUGGCUGAAACAAUUUAUGAAUAAAAUUAUAUCAUAA